UCCCUUUCAGGGUUGCACCUGGAGAGUCUCCAGUACUCUACCAGUCUCGGCUGUGGGAGGGAGAGUCAAGCAGAGGCCUACCCAUUCCAUUCCUAGCUUGGCUAAUGGCUAGCAAGUGGAAGGCAAUCUGCUACAAGU
Molecule: small nucleolar RNA, 138 nt
Filed under: Ornithorhynchus anatinus (platypus)
Lineage: Eukaryota; Metazoa; Chordata; Mammalia; Monotremata; Ornithorhynchidae
Source: RNAcentral